RNAcentral lists this small RNA (116 nucleotides) under Crocodylus porosus (Australian saltwater crocodile). RNAcentral's name for it is "TUC338 (ENSCPRG00005016748.1)". Lineage: Eukaryota; Metazoa; Chordata; Crocodylia; Crocodylidae. The record is from RNAcentral.
AGCUCUCUCUUCACCAGGGUGGCAGAGGCAACAGCAGUUUGUGCUUCCCACACUGCCCUGCCAAUGACCCCAGCCCUGACCUGGAGGGGGCCACCCUCAUUUGGGUGAGAGGUAAU